RNAcentral lists this ribosomal RNA (460 nucleotides) under uncultured bacterium. RNAcentral describes it as "partial 16S ribosomal RNA". It matches the Rfam family "Bacterial small subunit ribosomal RNA", at positions 338 to 795 of the family's 1533-position model. The record is from RNAcentral.
CCUACGGGCGGCAGCAGUGAGGAAUAUUGGUCAAUGGGCGCGAGCCUGAACCAGCCAAGUAGCGUGCAGGAUGACUGCCCUACGGGUUGUAAACUUCUUUUAUAAAGGAGUAAAGUGAGACACGUGUGCCUUUUUGUAUGUACUUUAUGAAUAAGGAUCGGCUAACUCCGUUCCAGCAGCCGCGGUAAUACGGUGGAUCCGAGCGUUAUCCGGAUUUAUUGGGUUUAAAGGGAGCGUAGAUGGGUUGUUAAGUCAGUUGUGAAAGUUUGCGGCUUAACCGUAAAAUUGAAAUUGAUACUGGCAGACUUGAGUACAGUUGAGGUAGGCGGAAUUCGUGGUGUAGCGGUGAAAUGCUUAGAUAUCACGAAGAACUCCGAUUGCGAAGGCAGCCUACUAAACUGCCACUGACAUUGAUGCUCGAAAGUGUGGGUAUCAAACAGGAUUAGAUACCCUAGUAGUC